CACCCAUGUCGAGGACAUAUCCACAAGAGCUCCUUGAACCUAUCCCUUCUCUCAGAAAAAGGCUCCAAUUCCAUUUGCACAAAAGAAGAUAUCUCAUUCCUAAGCUU
Dioscorea cayenensis subsp. rotundata (Guinea yam) is the source of this 107-nucleotide small nucleolar RNA. The record is from RefSeq and is a predicted model, not a curated record. Lineage: Eukaryota; Viridiplantae; Streptophyta; Magnoliopsida; Dioscoreales; Dioscoreaceae.